This 2284-nucleotide ribosomal RNA is filed under the name Pycnopsyche lepida. RNAcentral describes it as "eukaryotic LSU rRNA". It matches the Rfam family "Eukaryotic large subunit ribosomal RNA", at positions 49 to 1888 of the family's 3401-position model. Lineage: Eukaryota; Metazoa; Arthropoda; Insecta; Trichoptera; Limnephilidae. The record is from RNAcentral.
GACGGAGGAAAAGAAACUAACGAGGAUUCCCCGAGUAGCGGCGAGCGAAACGGGAAGAGCCCAGCGCUGAAUCCUGCGGCCCCGGCGGGCCGCCGGGAAAUGUAGCGUUCGGGAGGAGAGUUAUACAUACACGCGCGGUCAUUAGUCACGGCUGCCUGUCCAAGUUCAUCUUGAACGGGGCCCGCUUACCCGCAGAGGGUGCCAGGCCCGUGGUGACGGUAGCCGGCCGCGACGGUCUCUCUCCCUAGAGUCGGGUUGCUUGAGAGUGCAGCCCUAAGUGGGUGGUAAACUCCAUCUAAGGCUAAAUACUACCACGAGACCGAUAGCGAACAAGUACCGUGAGGGAAAGUUGAAAAGAACUUUGAAGAGAGAGUUAAAGAGUACGUGAAACCGUUCAGGGGUAAACCUGUGGAACUCAAACGAGCGAACGGGGAGAUUCAUCGUGUCUUCCGUCGGGGCUCGCGCCUCGCGCAAACCUUCGCCUUCGGCUCUCGGGUCGGGGCGGCGGGUGCGCGGGUGCGUCGUCAGGCUCCCGGAGCGCGUGCACUUCUCCCUUAGUAUAACACCGCGACCCGUCGCGCCGCGGUCGAAUGCGCCGUGCGGUUGACCCGUCUCGCUCUGCGAGGCGGAGCCGCGGUGUCCACGGCCGCGGCGUACAUUACGCAGCGACGGUAGAGAACGAGGAUCGCGUCCGCCCCCAGCGGGCGUCCGUCGCGCUGCAGCGGCGUCCUUCGCGUGGCCCCCGGCGUCUAGUGCGUCGCGGGUGUCGCGAGUCGGGUGUCCGUCGUUAGCGGCGCGCUCUCGGACGGGACGCGUCCCGGUCGGCGGUGGUUUUGUUUUGGGCACUCACAGGACCCGUCUUGAAACACGGACCAAGGAGUCUAGCAUGUGCGCGAGUCAUUGGGAACACUGAUAAACCCAGAGGCGAAAUGAAAGUGAAAGGCCGGCCUCGAGCCGGUCGCAGGGAAGAUGCGCGGGCGUCGUCAGACGCCCCGCCGCAUUCCCGAGGCGUUUCGAGAAAGCCCCCGUGCGAUUAUCGAGACGCACUGAGAGCGUACACGCUGGGACCCGAAAGAUGGUGAACUAUGCCUGGUCAGGUCGAAGUCAGGGGAAACCCUGAUGGAGGACCGAAGCGAUUCUGACGUGCAAAUCGAUCGUCCGAACUGGGUAUAGGGGCGAAAGACUAAUCGAACUAUCUAAUAGCUGGUUCCAUCCGAAGUUUCCCUCAGGAUAGCUGGCGCUCGAGAAACAUGACGGUUUUCGGACCGCCAUUCGCACAGUCUCAUCCGGUAAAGCGAAUGAUUAGAGGCAUUGGGGCCGAAAUGGCCUCAACCUAUUCUCAAACUUUAAAUGGGUGAGAUCUCCUUCUUGCUCGAAGAUGAAGUAGGAGCUCGGAUGGGAGUGCCAAGUGGGCCAAUUUUGGUAAGCAGAACUGGCGCUGUGGGAUGAACCAAACGUCGAGUUAAGGCGCCCAAUGAACGCUCAUCGGAUACCAUAAAAGGCGUUGGUCGCUCAGGACAGCAGGACGGUGGCCAUGGAAGUCGGAAUCCGCUAAGGAGUGUGUAACAACUCACCUGCCGAAGCAACCAGCCCUGAAAAUGGAUGGCGCUGUAGCGUUCAGCCUAUACUCGACCGUUGCAGGCAAGCGGGGCGCUCGUGCGGCUCCGGCCGCGCGAUCGUUUUGAAGCCGCAACGAGUAGGAUGGCCGCGGCGGUGUGCGCAGAAGGGUCUGGGCGUGAGCCCGCCUGGAGCCUCCGUCGGCGCAGAUCUUGGUGGUAGUAGCAAAUACUCAAGCGAGGUCCUUGAGGGCUGAUGUGGAGAAGGGUUUCGCGUUAACAGCCGUUGCACGCGAGUUAGUCGAUCCUAAGCCCUAGGAGAAAUCCGAUGUUGAUGAUGGUGUAAAGUUAUAAACCGUUAAAAAAGUUUUUUCUUAAAAGUACACCCGUCGGGCGAAAGGGAAUCCGGUUGCAGUUCCGGAACCCGGCUGCGGAACCGUCUUAAAAAUCGUUCCCUCGCAAGAGAGUUCGUCGGGGUGACCCAAAGUGGCCUGAAGACGCCGACGGGAGAUCCGGAGAGAGUUAUCUUUUCUGCCUGAGCGUUCGAGCGCCCUGGAAUCCCAUAGCGGGGAGAUAGGGCUCGGGACGCGAAGAGCAUCGCCGAUGCGGCGGUGUCCGGAUCGGCCCCUCGGACCUUGAAAAUUCAGGUGAGGGAUACGCGGAGAUGUCGCGCCGGCUCGUACCCAUAUCCGCAGCAGGUCUCACAAGGUGAAGAGCCUCUAGCCGUG